UGCGCAGGCGGUUUUGUAAGCCAGAUGUGAAAUCCCCGGGCUUAACCUGGGAACUGCAUUUGGGACUGCAAGGCUUGAGUACGGCAGAGGGGGGUAGAAUUCCUGGUGUAGCAGUGAAAUGCGUAGAUAUCAGGAGGAAUACCGAUGGCGAAGGCAGCCCCCUGGGUCGAUACUGACGCUCAUGCACGAAAGCGUGGGAGCAAACA
RNAcentral lists this ribosomal RNA (206 nucleotides) under uncultured bacterium. Its description in RNAcentral is "partial 16S ribosomal RNA". It matches the Rfam family "Bacterial small subunit ribosomal RNA", at positions 568 to 774 of the family's 1533-position model. The record is from RNAcentral.